UUCAGUUAUUUUCAGAUACAGUUAAUUGAAGGAAGGGUUUGAAACCAUAGAAGGAAUUUAUUGAAAGAGUUAUGUUUUAAAAAAUUGUGGAUACCUGGAUAUAUUCAGGUUUCACUUGCUACCUGAAACAGUAUAUUUGAGAAGCGGUUAAGAAACCAUAGAAGGAAUUGUCAAGGUUCAGUUAUUUUCAGAUACAAUUAAUUGAAGGAGGGAUUUGAAAGUUUAUUGAAGAGUGAUAUUUACAAAAAUUGUGGUACCUGGAUGCUCAGGGUUCACUUGCUACCUGAAACAGUAUAUCUGAGAAGUGGUUGAGAAACUAUAAAUAGAAUUGAUUGGAAGGGUAGUUUUGGAUGAGAUGUGGAUACUAACCCUAUCACUUAGGGUAGUAUAUUCAAGAAG
RNAcentral lists this long non-coding RNA (399 nucleotides) under Populus trichocarpa (black cottonwood). Its description in RNAcentral is "long non-coding RNA (PTRI_LNC003205)". Lineage: Eukaryota; Viridiplantae; Streptophyta; Magnoliopsida; Malpighiales; Salicaceae. The record is from RNAcentral.